RNAcentral lists this long non-coding RNA (703 nucleotides) under Musa acuminata (dwarf banana). RNAcentral's name for it is "long non-coding RNA (MACU_LNC005584)". The record is from RNAcentral. Lineage: Eukaryota; Viridiplantae; Streptophyta; Magnoliopsida; Zingiberales; Musaceae.
GGAGGCUACGGAGAACUUCAAGCUGGUGGGCUUCACCCGCUUCGUCCGGGCCAACCCCCGCAGCGACCGCUUCCCCGUUCUUGGCUUCCACCACGUCGAAUUCUGGGCCGCCGACGCCACCAACUCUGCCGGCCGCUUCUCCUUCGGCCUCGGGAUGCCCCUCGCCGCACGCUCCGAUCUCUCCACCGGUAAUCCCUUCUUCGCCUCCUACCUCCUCCGCUCCGCUUCCCUCCGCUUCCUCUUCUCCGCCCCCUAUGGCGGGCCGGCCGCCGCUGACGCCGCCGCUAACCCUGCCAACACCUCCCCCAUCCCCUCCUUCGACGCCGACCGUGCCCGUCGCUUCUCCGUCGACCACGGACUUGCGGUCCGAGCCAUCGCCGUCGAGGUCGCUGACGCUGCCGAAGCCUUCCGCAUCAGCGUCGCCCACGGCGCUCGCCCCUCCUUCCCCCCGGCCGACCUCGGCGAGGGGUUCGCGCUCGCCGAGGUCGAGCUGUACGGCGACGUAGUCCUUCGCUACGUUAGCCGCCCGAAGCCCCCACCGUUCCCCUCCGAAGCCCGCCAAACCCCCAUAAAGGUCCCAGCUUUCCUACCUGGAUUCGAGGAUAUUGACGAGUCCGAGACUUGUUCAUUCACCUACGGCAUCCGGCGGCUUGACCAUGCCGUCGGGAACGUCCCCGAACUCGCGCCAGCGGUGCGCUACAUU